GACGAACGCUGGCGGCGUGCCUAAUACAUGCAAGUUGAGCGCUGAAGGUUGGUACUUGUACCAACUGGAUGAGCAGCGAACGGGUGAGUAACGCGUGGGGAAUCUGCCUUUGAGCGGGGGACAACAUUUGGAAACGAGUGCUAAUACCGCAUAAAAACUUUAAACACAAGUUUUAAGUUUGAAAGAUGCAAUUGCAUCACUCAAAGAUGAUCCCGCGUUGUAUUAGCUAGUUGGUGAGGUAAAGGCUCACCAAGGCGAUGAUACAUAGCCGACCUGAGAGGGUGAUCGGCCACAUUGGGACUGAGACACGGCCCAAACUCCUACGGGAGGCAGCAGUAGGGAAUCUUCGGCAAUGGACGAAGGUCUGACCGAGCAACGCCGCGUGAGUGAAGAAGGUUUUCGGAUCGUAAAACUCUGUUGGUAGAGAAGAACGUUGGUGAGAGUGGAAAGCUCAUCAAGUGACGGUAACUACCCAGAAAGGGACGGCUAACUACGUG
Molecule: ribosomal RNA, 497 nt
Filed under: uncultured bacterium
Lineage: Bacteria
Description: partial 16S ribosomal RNA
Rfam family: Bacterial small subunit ribosomal RNA
Source: RNAcentral